Molecule: long non-coding RNA, 1932 nt
Organism: Cyanistes caeruleus (blue tit)
Lineage: Eukaryota; Metazoa; Chordata; Aves; Passeriformes; Paridae
Source: RefSeq, a predicted model, not a curated record
CUCAGCAUGACACAGCAGAAGAGAGUGGGUGAAUAGUUAGUUACAGGGCUCCAGUGACACUCAUUUCUAUUUAAUUCUCUUUGCAUUAGUCAGGCUGUUUAAGUGGACCCUGAUGUAAAUAUGAAUUGAGUCUCUCUGGAGCUGUUUGCUUGCUUCCCUGGAUGGCAAAGGAAGCCACACCAGGCAUACGGCGUGACCCCAUGGCAGAUGUCCCAUCCUCCAGCUUUACUCCCAUGCCUAGGAGACAGGGGCUAAAAUCAAAGACCCACUCAUUUGCCUACUCAGGUGGCAGUCCUUUACAAAGGGUGUGCUGAUGGAAACCGUGGGUACGAAGCUCCGGUAAUUAUCCCGGAUUCCUGAGCCCUCCGUCCUUCAGCGAGGCUAAUAAUGAAGACAGAGGAGAGAGAGAGAGGCCGGGAUGUGCCUGCCUGCCUGGAAUGCAGCCGGAGCUGAAAGCUGACACCAGCUCGCUGGAAAAGAACUUGCGAGCAAAGGCUGUCUCCAAGACAACAGAGUAUUUUCCCUGUGAUGCAUUUACACAGUGGGGUUAAAGUUCUGUGAAAGCAACAGCUGUUGUAAAAACAUUGUAUUAAAUAUGCUUAGAACUGUAAAACGCGUGCUCCUCAUGUUGCACUUUGCUCGAGAGAAAUGUGGAAACCUGUGGUAUGCCUGAAGGAGAGUUUCUGCUCUCUCAAAAGCUGUUUUAUAAAUGCCAUGCUUCAUUUUCAACCUUUUCCUGCUGAGAUAGCUUCUUCUUCGGACCAUUUUUUCUCUAAAGUUGACUUUCAAGUUAAAAGCUAAUGACUAAAGCAUGACUGGGUCUACUCCUUGCUUUUUACCCAUUUAAAUUAUGCCUUUUUGCUUGAAAACUUCCACUAUAUGUGUGCGUUUGUGUUAGGACGUAAGCUGCUGCAAAUUAAGCUUGCUUACCCUGGUGCCACCCAUAGAUGUGGCUCAGCUAUCAUUUGCAGUUCAGACUCAUCAACACUAAUAUUUUUCCAUCACUGGAGAGUGAUCUCCUGCAAUGUUGUCCUGUUUCUGACUCAGCUGACCUCUGGGGAGAAACUCACUGUGUAGAGGACAAAAUAUUACCAGCUUCAAAAAUAAGGGCCUGGCAAAACAACAGACUGCUUCAGAGCUAUUAUCUCCUUUCAUACUGCAAUUCUUAGAGGCUUUUUAAACAGUUACAUAGUUUUCAAGUCAAGAGGCAAAAGACCUAGAGGUUUCAAGGCAAAGACCUAGACAUUUUAAGAAACUUACCCAGUGCAACCCUUUUCAAGUGAAACAGCAAGGACACAAUGGCACAGCUUACACAGAUGCCCUGAGGCACUGAUAUGACAUCUGUACUUUUGAUCCUUCCCACGCAAACGCGGUAAAAGUUGUAAAAGUCUGUAAUAAGAUACUGGAUUUCCACAUGCUGUUGAAUUUCUGUCUGAAAACACAGGACCCAUUCAUCUACAGUAGGAAAAGCAUGCCUAAGCUGCUUCAGCAGUUUUGAGAAUCUCAGACUAAAUAAUAUUUAUCAGAAGCAAAAAAAUUAUCUUACUCAGGAGAGUAUCAAAAUGAUUGACUGAUUUCAGCCUACCUAGGAGGAGAACAGAAGGAUCAGACAGAGCAGAACAGAGGUUUUGCAAGAAUCAUCUCCCAAACACGAAGACUGCUGUUAGGACUGGACACUGUCUGCCUUGUCACCAUCUACCUGUGUAAUCACAGGCACAAGGAAGCCUAUUCAUCAAAGGCCCCACUCAGGGCUCCUUUGGCAUGCUUAACACUUCCGCAGACGUACAAGGAUCUUCGGGGUGUUCAAAGGAUAAAAGACUGGACACUAUUUAUAGUUUUGCUGAUGUUGGGAUGGUGGCUGUAAACCUAAAUUCCUUUCUCAGUCCGUGCUCAGCCUUGAGCUGAAUGAAUAGCGAAAAUAAAUAAAUAAUA